Rosa chinensis is the source of this 431-nucleotide long non-coding RNA. RefSeq lists it as uncharacterized. NCBI's taxonomy places the organism in Eukaryota, Viridiplantae, Streptophyta, Magnoliopsida, Rosales, Rosaceae. The record is from RefSeq and is a predicted model, not a curated record. The transcript has 3 exons.
AAAUCCAAUCUUUGAACUCAAACCAAGCUCAUAAUUUUAGUGGGUUUUCCAGGAAAGCAAUUGGGUUUUUGUUUGAAAGGAAGUUAAGGGUCGUUGAAAGAAGUUAAGGGUUUUGUGAAUGCAAGAGAGGAUGGCGUUGACGAAGCUGAGGAGCAGAGCAGAGGGGAGAGUACUAUCCCGGAGCGGUUUAGGUACCUGACCUAAGAAGCUCCUGACCCUCCUUUGAGGUGGCCUUUGUUUCUGGACAAUAGCAAGACUUGAGAAGUUUAAGAAGACCCUGUCUGUGAAGCCCACAGCCCCAGAUAGUGAAUCUGGAGAUGGUGAUGGUGAAGAUUUAUCUGAUUGGCAAAAAUCUCGGUUAAAAUUUGCUCCUGAGACUGGCAAGAUGACUCGCACCGAGGACGUAAACCACAGAUAAGAGCUAGCUCUUU